UACGUAGGGGGCAAGCGUUGUCCGGAUUUAUUGGGCGUAAAGAGCGUGUAGGCGGCCAGGUAGGUCUGCUGUGAAAACUCGAGGCUUAACCUCGAGAUGUCGGCGGAAACCAUCUGGCUAGAGUCCGGAAGAGGAGAAUGGAAUUCCCGGUGUAGCGGUGAAAUGCGUAGAUAUCGUAAGGAAGACCAGUGGCGAAGGCGGGUCUCUGGACAGUUCCUGACGCUGAGGCACGAAGGCCAGGGGAGCAAACGGG
RNAcentral lists this ribosomal RNA (253 nucleotides) under uncultured bacterium. Its description in RNAcentral is "partial 16S ribosomal RNA". It matches the Rfam family "Bacterial small subunit ribosomal RNA", at positions 524 to 776 of the family's 1533-position model. The record is from RNAcentral.